AACUUUUGGCAAUGGAUCACUUGGCUCUCGCAUCGUUGAAGAACGCAGCGAAAUGCGAUACGUAAUGUGAAUUGCAGAAUUCAGUGAAGCAUCGAAUCUUUGAACGCACCUUGCGCCCCUUGGCAUUCCGAGGGGCACACCCGUUUGAGUGUCGUGAACUUCUCAAACCUUCUUGGUUUCUUGAUCAAGAUGGCUUUGGACUUUGGAGGCAUUUUGCUGGCUUUGCGAAAAGCCAGCUCCUCUUAAAUACAUUAGUGGGAUCCCCUUUGCCGAUCCCCAGGCGUGAUAAGAUAUUUCUACGUCUUGGGAUUUGCUCUGUUCCUUGGGAACCCGCUUCCAACCGUCUCAUGGGAGACAUCGUUCGAGUUUGCUCGACCCACGAACCUUGACCUCAAAUCGGGUGAGACUACCCGCUGAACUUAAGCAUAUCAAUAAGCGGAGGCU
This 444-nucleotide unclassified non-coding RNA is filed under the name uncultured Russula. RNAcentral describes it as "sequence contains ITS2". The stretch from base 1 to 154 matches the Rfam family "5.8S ribosomal RNA". Lineage: Eukaryota; Fungi; Basidiomycota; Agaricomycetes; Russulales; Russulaceae. The record is from RNAcentral.